CCUACGAAGGUUAACUAGAGCUACGAGUACGAGAACCACGCCCAGCCGCCAUAGUGGAGUCCUACGCCGCCACCGAGAUCCGAGAGGAGCCGCCGCCGCCGAGAUCCGAGAUGAGCUGGCCACCGGACACCAUGACCUCCCUCCCCAGCCGGCCGCCACCACCCCCUCCCCCAGCAGCCAUGUACAGCGGGGCAGCGAUGGGUAUCGGCCUCCCUCCUCCCUUCGCCCAAGGCUAGGAACUCCCCUCCCCUACCCGAUCUCCUCCCUUCGUGCAAGGCCACGAGCUCCCCUCCCCUACCCGAUCUGACGGAGAGAGGGCCAGGUCUUGCCACUCCGGUGUUUGAUGUGGCCAGAUCCGGACGGGGGAUUCGCCGUAGAGCCUCCAUGUCGGUGGAGCAGCAGCAGCCCGACAGAAGAUCCAGCGCUCAAAUAAGAUUAUGAGGAAGGGCAUCACACUCUCCGGGAGCAAACAAGAUACCACAUACCGAUCCUGAUUCAGAAUUAUGACAGGGAGUCAGGGACACAAUCAAAUUUAUACCAUCCGUUGUGAUUCAAUUUGACCAUUUCAUUAAAAUUUCCGGAUGGAUCUUAAUUCCUCGGGAAUGAUGUGGUUCUGGAGUCUAUUGUUAAUCUCUUCUGUCGCAGAUGUUUCACAAAUCCAACUACCAUGUUGAUUUUUUGAUCAUUCUUUGGUCUGGAGUCUGGACUAUACAUGAUAUAUGUAUUAUAUCAUCAUCACAAUAUGAUUAUUUUUCUUCUUCUCACAAGGCGCUUCCAAUGCACAGAUGGCGGCAAUGAAGCAGCAGGCUCCGGAGAGCGUGCAGUGGAGGAAGGAGUUCCUGGUGGAGGUGUUGAUGCUGACGGUGCUCAGCCAGCCUAACUUCGUCAGCCUGGUCGGCUUCUGCGCGCAGGGGGACAAGCGCCUGCUAUUGAUACAGGCUUUCAAAGGUGGGGCAUGGGCUCAGAGGUGAGGCCACUAGCGGUUCAACUUUGCACAUACAAGAAAAUAAAAUCAAGGCACAAAUUGGACGGACAAAUGUUGAUAGAGGAGGAGAACACCAUGCAACAGCGAUCCAUCCAACACGGCAAGAGAUACCUAGGCACUCGGUGCUAUUUCUCACGUCAAUGCACCCCCUAUGCCGGGAAUCGAUGGCUCAACCGGCAAUCGAGCAGGAUGGAUAUCCUAGCGCCUCUAUAUUAGCACCCACAAGGAAAGUAAACAUAGGCCCAUAUUGUGUUCAACGUGAUGAUACAAGCGAGAGUUGGCCUACGCCGCCAACUGAUCUGCGGCAGCGUGGAAGGAGUGUUCAAAAGCAGCAUGAGCAGUUGUUCUACUGCUGGUCGGAGGGAGAGCUUGUCAAGGGAGAUAGAGGGAGCUCUACAACCACGAUCUUGGCAUACAACCCGAUGGCAUCGUGCCCACAGCAACCUCCUUCUGGAUGACAAAAGAAUUAGGUCCAGAUAAUUUGUUCUUUGAGCAAAGCAACUUUGUUGGGGAUGCCAAAAGAAGUUUCAGUUUUCUUACUAAUUAAUGCGGCAAUUGGCUGCCGCGACAGAAAACUGGGAGCCCCCUAGGAACAAAAUAAAAAAAGAAAGAUCCUGCCUUUGCCCUUAAUACACCUGAUGGGCAAUGUCAUCACCAGCAUGAGUUUGGUCUCCUUAACGCACCCGAUCGAGGCCAUGGAGUCCAUCUUCCCUAUUCUACUAUUUGUCUUGUUCCUCGGGCAGGUAUUUGGUUUCAGACUUUAUCAAGUGGUAUGUCCUGACAAAUGAAAUGUGAUGAACACCCAGGGAAUAAUGUACCUAUAUAGGAUUAGGAAUCUUUUUGUAUCAAUGAAAUUGUUGUGCAUGCUCGUAGGUAUAUGUUCUCCUAUCUUGACAAAUGAAAUGAGUGAUUACAAAACUAUUUUUGAUCGAUGAAAUGGAUGGAUGUAUGGACAUCUUGUUAUGCAGA
Molecule: long non-coding RNA, 1954 nt
Organism: Triticum dicoccoides
Lineage: Eukaryota; Viridiplantae; Streptophyta; Magnoliopsida; Poales; Poaceae
Exons: 9
Source: RefSeq, a predicted model, not a curated record